This 530-nucleotide ribosomal RNA is filed under the name uncultured beta proteobacterium. RNAcentral describes it as "bacterial SSU rRNA". It matches the Rfam family "Bacterial small subunit ribosomal RNA", at positions 223 to 745 of the family's 1533-position model. Lineage: Bacteria; Pseudomonadati; Pseudomonadota; Betaproteobacteria. The record is from RNAcentral.
GGAGCGGCCGAUGUCAGAUUAGCUAGUUGGUGGGGUAAAGGCCCACCAAGGCGACGAUCUGUAGCUGGUCUGAGAGGACGACCAGCCACACUGGGACUGAGACACGGCCCAGACUCCUACGGGAGGCAGCAGUGGGGAAUUUUGGACAAUGGGCGAAAGCCUGAUCCAGCCAUGCCGCGUGUCUGAAGAAGGCCUUCGGGUUGUAAAGGACUUUCGUCAGGGAGGAAAUCCCUAGCGUUAAUACCGCUGGGGGAUGACAGUACCUGAAGAAUAAGCACCGGCUAACUACGUGCCAGCAGCCGCGGUAAUACGUAGGGUGCGAGCGUUAAUCGGAAUUACUGGGCGUAAAGCGUGCGCAGGCGGUUUGAUAAGCCAGAUGUGAAAUCCCCGAGCUCAACUUGGGAACUGCGUUUGGAACUGUCAGACUAGAGUGCGUCAGAGGGGGGUGGAAUUCCGCGUGUAGCAGUGAAAUGCGUAGAGAUGCGGAGGAACACCGAUGGCGAAGGCAGCCCCCUGGGAUGACACUGACG